RNAcentral lists this ribosomal RNA (415 nucleotides) under uncultured bacterium. Its description in RNAcentral is "bacterial SSU rRNA". It matches the Rfam family "Bacterial small subunit ribosomal RNA", at positions 505 to 916 of the family's 1533-position model. The record is from RNAcentral.
GUGCCAGCAGCCGCGGUAAGACGUAGGGCGCAAGCGUUGUCCGGAUUUAUUGGGCGUAAAGAGCUCGUAGGCGGCUGGUCGCGUCGACUGUGAAAUCCCACGGCUCAACUGUGUGGUCUGCAGUCGAUACGGGCUGGCUGGAGUUCGGUAGGGGAGACUGGAAUUCCUGGUGUAGCGGUGAAAUGCGCAGAUAUCAGGAGGAACACCGGUGGCGAAGGCGGGUCUCUGGGCCGAUACUGACGCUGAGGAGCGAAAGCGUGGGGAGCGAACAGGAUUAGAUACCCUGGUAGUCCACGCUGUAAACGUUGGGCGCUAGGUGUGGGGGGCCUCUCCGGCCUUCUGUGCCGCAGCUAACGCAUUAAGCGCCCCGCCUGGGGAGUACGGCCGCAAGGCUAAAACUCAAAGGAAUUGACGG